This 128-nucleotide non-coding RNA is filed under the name Pseudomonas paraeruginosa PA7. Its description in RNAcentral is "rmf RNA". It matches the Rfam family "rmf RNA". The record is from RNAcentral. Lineage: Bacteria; Pseudomonadati; Pseudomonadota; Gammaproteobacteria; Pseudomonadales; Pseudomonadaceae.
UUGGUUAGAACUCCAGUUAAUCCGUCACCGCAACGGUGUCGGGCGAGGGUCGUCACGCCGGCAACGACCCCUUUCGGCGAAAGCUUCGCCAGGCCUCCCCUGGGGGCCAACGGGACAUAACAGUCAAC